RNAcentral lists this ribosomal RNA (328 nucleotides) under uncultured eukaryote. RNAcentral describes it as "partial 18S ribosomal RNA". It matches the Rfam family "Eukaryotic small subunit ribosomal RNA", at positions 1470 to 1796 of the family's 1831-position model. The record is from RNAcentral.
CCCUUAGAUGUUCUGGGCCGCACGCGCGCUACACUGAAUGGAUCAGCGUGUUUUCCCUUCCCGAGAGGGACGGGUAACCCGCUGAACCCCAUUCGUGGUAGGGAUCGGAGCUUGCAAUUGUUCUCCGUGAACCAGGAAUUCCCAGUAAGCGCAAGUCAUAAGCUUGCGUUGAUUACGUCCCUGCCCUUUGUACACACCGCCCGUCGCUACUACCGAUUGAAUGAUUUAGUGAGGACUUCGGACUGGGACCGAUGCGGCUUUCGGGCUGCGUCGGUAUUCUGGAAAGAUGUCCAAACUGUAUCAUUUAGAGGAAGUAAAAGUCGUAACA